AGUUAAUUAGCUUAUAUAAAAGCAUAUAUUUUGAAAAUAUAAGAAAGAAUAAUUUAUUAACUU
Molecule: transfer RNA, 63 nt
Filed under: Cyphonia clavata
Lineage: Eukaryota; Metazoa; Arthropoda; Insecta; Hemiptera; Membracidae
Description: tRNA-Ser
Source: RNAcentral